UGGCCAUUUAAACCUGCAGAUUAGGUGAGAGGGACAGCCAAGGCUGGAGCUUCUGAUCUAAGCAAGCAGAUGAUGAGAAGAAGCUGCCCACUCUGGCUUCAGGGUCCUCGUCUAUACAAUGGGAUGAUAACAGAAACCACAUGGGGCUGCAGAGAGAGGAGGUUAAGAUCACACACAGAUGGCCUGCUCAGCGUCUGGGCCACAACAAAGGCUCCAUUUGGUUAGUCUUUUUAAAGUGAUUUUCAUCCACAUUAAAAUAAUUUUUAUUUAAAAUUUAAUAUUUUAUGAAAAUGGUGAUUAAUACUAUUAGCCAGGCCCAUCUCUCAGAGAAACAGAUCUGAGCAGAGUGGGAAAUAACUCAGAAAGAGACUCCACCAAGAACGCAAACCUCAGUCGGCCUCUCCAUCCUUCCCUUUGUUCGCACCAAGAAAUCCCCCCUGUUGGGGCAUAUGAAGAAGGUUAUAACAAGAGUCACAUUGAAAAUUAUUAGUCCUCUGUUUUCAGCUGUUGCAAGGAAAUGUUCUUCUUACCGAGUUGCCUGAAGCCAAAUUGGCUGACCUCUGGGGUAGGACUUUUCCACUGCAGUGACAGUGGCAUUCUCCUGGAAGAGGAGCAGCCUCAAGCUACAAGAAUGGGGCCAGGGGUCCCUCCCACUGGGCUACAUUGUGUUUCCUCCUCACUGUGUCCUGACCAGAUGACAGCCACUGACAGAUGCUGGAGGUGGGGAUGGUGGGUGGCAGCAGAAAUGUUGCUAAAAAACUAGCAGCUCUUGGUAGUGGAGGCGCUUUCUAGAAGCUAUGUUGGCAUUGCAGACAUGGAGGAUGGUCAGUCUGCCCCCUUCCCUAUAGCACCAGAGGCUGUUAGAAGAGGGGAUCUUAGAUUCUUUACUGCUAACCCUAACCGGUUGCAAAGAAAACAGUCUUCUUCAGCAUGUUUUUUCUGUGAAGCCAGGUCCCUUUCUUUUCUAUGUCUUCUUUCCUUCAAUCAUUCUCUUCCCCUAUUUCCCUGUCCCUUUAUGUCCUCUGGCUUUUAACUGAGUUGACUUGUCUGCAGUCCCAACAGAGGCAUAGAAUCCAAGAGCGGAACCUCUUCAUGCACAAGAGAAGCCUGAGGCCCAGAGACAGGAAGGAACUUGCCAAGGUUACACAUGACCAUCUUGCAGCCCAACAUCCAGCAAACCACAUUGGAAUACAGCAUGCCACAAUGAUGGUGCUUCAUGACCCAGCCCCAAGAAUGGAUACCUCUUUCGAAGUGUCUACCCAGAGGAGAAGCACCUCCAUCCACACCAAGAGACUGGGCUGUGUUCCUGGAAACAUGAGCCUUUAAAAGUGAAGCUAUAGUGUAAAACAAAUUCAAACAUAAAAAAGCUUUUUCUUUCACCUGAUUUUUGUUCUGGAGCUCUACAUUUAAUGAAAUAUUUAAUGAAAUAUCAGGGUGGAAGGGGCAAAGAGAGGAAAGGUUGCGCUGCUCCCAAGAAUGCACCACAUUUCAGUCCAAAGCAAAUUAAGUCAGGGGCUCUUUAGACUCAAGUCCCGGGAUGAGAAGCAGAGAGUAGGCUAACGGGUUCUGGGCUGAGCCCCAGCCAACUGUGGUAAUAAAACACAGCGCAUAGACA
This 1615-nucleotide long non-coding RNA is filed under the name Felis catus (domestic cat). RNAcentral's name for it is "lncRNA (ENSFCAG00000044563.2)". The record is from RNAcentral. Lineage: Eukaryota; Metazoa; Chordata; Mammalia; Carnivora; Felidae.